MicroRNA precursor from Anolis carolinensis (green anole), 63 nucleotides. It matches the Rfam family "mir-737 microRNA precursor family". The record is from Rfam. NCBI's taxonomy places the organism in Eukaryota, Metazoa, Chordata, Lepidosauria, Squamata, Anolidae.
UUGUUUUUUUAGGUUUUGAUUUUUAUGCCAUCCUCAUGCGAAAAUCAAAACCUAAAGAAAAUG